UACAGAGGUCUCAAGCGUUGUUCGGAUUCAUUGGGCGUAAAGGGUGCGUAGGUGGCGUCGUAAGUCAGGUGUGAAAUUUCGGAGCUUAACUCCGAAACUGCAUUUGAUACUGCGGUGCUUGAGGACUGGAGAGGAGACUGGAAUUUACGGUGUAGCAGUGAAAUGCGUAGAGAUCGUAAGGAAGACCAGUGGCGAAGGCGGCCUGCUGGACCCGAUCUGACGCUGAGGCGCGAAAGCCAGGGGAGCGAACGGG
RNAcentral lists this ribosomal RNA (253 nucleotides) under uncultured bacterium. Its description in RNAcentral is "partial 16S ribosomal RNA". It matches the Rfam family "Bacterial small subunit ribosomal RNA", at positions 524 to 776 of the family's 1533-position model. The record is from RNAcentral.